GCGUGUAUGAAGAAGGCCUUCGGGUUGUAAAGUACUUUCAGCGGGGAGGAAGGGAGUAAAGUUAAUACCUUUGCUCAUUGACGUUACCCGCAGAAGAAGCACCGGCUAACUCCGUGCCAGCAGCCGCGGUAA
Molecule: ribosomal RNA, 132 nt
Filed under: uncultured bacterium
Lineage: Bacteria
Description: partial 16S ribosomal RNA
Rfam family: Bacterial small subunit ribosomal RNA
Source: RNAcentral